RNAcentral lists this long non-coding RNA (1464 nucleotides) under Equus caballus (horse). RNAcentral describes it as "lncRNA (ENSECAG00000057428.1)". The record is from RNAcentral. Lineage: Eukaryota; Metazoa; Chordata; Mammalia; Perissodactyla; Equidae.
CAGGACAUCAGUAGAGACUGAUUUAUUUAUGAAAAGGAGCAUUUGAGACUCACAUAGGCUGUUAUCCAAUAUUGCAUGUAUACCAUUAGUUAUGAGGUUGGCAUUAGAAUCUGGUUUUCCAAAAGCUCUGCUCAAAGGAAUUCUUUAUUAGGUUUUAUUGAUAGUUUAUAAAUAAUUAGCAGUUUCUAGUUAUCCUAGAACAGCUAACCUCACCACAGAAAUGGCCCCCCCACCCUAGAAGGGAAUGGGAAGAAUGGAGUGAUCAGAGUUGAGGGAUAUCCAGUAUCAGGAGACAGUCACUGCUCUACAUCCUCAAAGCUGCAGCUCCUCCACGGGACUGUGGCUCUUUAUCUCUCGGCUUGAUCAUAGAACAAAAUGUGAAGACAACAGUGAAUUUCCUGGUUCCCACCCCCUCAUCUCUGUUUUUCUAUAGUAAAGCUCACUGUCCAGCUCACCAAUACUUUCUACCUGGAAUGACUUCAAAGGAAAAUCUGCUAUGAUUUUCCUAUAUCCUGUCAUAAACUGUAGUUCGUGGUAAGGUGAACGUUUUGCCCACACAACUGGAGUUCGCGGAAGCAUUUUUCCGCUUCUUAUUACCAAACAAGAUGGAGUCAUACCCCGCAGAAAAGCCUUCUGCUGGGAGAAGCUUGCCUUUCAGUCCUGGCUGGUUUCUAACCUUUUAACAAGCUUUCCUGAAGAUGGCGCCACAUGCUCAGCUAUAUUACAACCUGCAUCCUCUCGUGAUCUCUUCUGAAAUCACCAAGUCCCCAAUAGCUACAGAGACUUACAGAAAGACCUGUAGGAAAUGCUACCUUGAAAUGACAUUCUUGUAUUAAAGUGUAAAGAUUAAUCUAAAUCACCCAAGGAAUAAUCUGAUCAGAUCAUCUCGAAAUUUUCAGUUAGGAGAGGGGAUUACACAAAAAAAAUACAGUAAAUGCUAUUUGAGUUAGAUCAAUGGCAGGUUCUGAAAGCCAAAGUCCGUCUCUGACCUUGCUUCUCCUUUGUUCCCUUUUUUCAGUCAAUGACACCAGCUAUUAAGUUGCCAGAGCCAGAAGCUUGAAUGACAUCUUUGAUCCUUCUCUCUACUUUAACUUCCCCACCGGCAGCCCCACAUCCAGUCAGUCACCCAGUCCUAUCUAUUCUAGUCUGUAAAUGUCUUUCAAGUGUGUCCACAUCUCUCCAUUCCCUCUGCUACUAGUGAGGUCCAAAAGUACACCACGUGCCCCCUGCACCACUGCAGGAGUGUGUCAGCCGUUUCCCCUUUAUUACAGCUCAUUCCUCUUAAUCUGCUCUCCACUCUACCUCUACAGUGAUCUUUUGAAAGACAGACCCAAUCAUGUAAUCGCCCUGUUUACAAUCUUCUGUGGCUCCCUAGUGCUCUCAUGUUAAGUCUGAAGUCUUACACAGCCUACAAUGCUUUUUAUAAUCUAGCUGCCUCUUCUUCAGAUUCAUUUUGCAACACCA